UUUGUAAAAAUAUGAUUUUUAGACCCAUAUGAAUAUUGUGACUGAUUGGUAGGCUAAAUGUGAUGUUAUAGAUGAUGAAAAUUGAGACUUGGACCUAGAACGGAAAGAAAUCGAUUUAUGGACGAGUAUGUCCUUUUCACAUUUGUGGUAUCGUGAGUUUCCAGGUUAGCUCGGGUUGGAGGCCGUCAGAGAUAUUAUCACCCUAUCGAGUUAACGUUGUCGGAGUAAGUAAACUCAAGUGAUUCGAGUCUAUGGCAUGUAUAGGGUUUUAAUGUGAGUAUGUAAUAUUAUGAUUUAGCCAAAGGCAUUGGCUUGUUAUUAAGGUAGUAUUAGUCAUGUAAAUUGGCCUAUGUCGGCUAAUGACAUUAUGGGCCCAUAUGAUUAUUCUUAUGCAUGUAUGUUAUUAUCUCUUGUGAUGUGGCUUACAACAUGUAUGCCUAGAGAUUGAAUUGAGAUUCAUUGAUGAGCCAAGAACUUAUGCGAGGAUUAAGUGAUUGGUAAAUAGUUAAUAAUGCUUCAUGAAUGGUUUGUGAUGUAAUGAUAGUUAUGUCUAGUAUGUGGUAAUGAUAUGGGCAAAUUCUAUAAUAUUUAUUGCAUAAGAAAAUAACUUGAGCAUAACAUGUUUGUAGAUGUUUAAGAGCUCAUUUAUGCCACGUUGUAUGUUAUUGGAUAA
Long non-coding RNA from Gossypium arboreum, 673 nucleotides. RefSeq lists it as uncharacterized. NCBI's taxonomy places the organism in Eukaryota, Viridiplantae, Streptophyta, Magnoliopsida, Malvales, Malvaceae. The record is from RefSeq and is a predicted model, not a curated record. The transcript has 2 exons.